Molecule: ribosomal RNA, 353 nt
Filed under: uncultured bacterium
Lineage: Bacteria
Description: bacterial SSU rRNA
Rfam family: Bacterial small subunit ribosomal RNA
Source: RNAcentral
GGGCCCGCACAAGCGGUGGAGCAUGUGGUUUAAUUCGAAGAUACGCGCAGAACCUUACCAACACUUGACAUGUUCGUCGCGACUUUAAGAGAUUAAAGUUUUCGGUUCGGCCGGACGAAACACAGGUGCUGCAUGGCUGUCGUCAGCUCGUGUCGUGAGAUGUUGGGUUAAGUCCCGCAACGAGCGCAACCCUCACUUUUAGUUGCCAUCAUUUAGUUGGGCACUCUGAAAGAACUGCCAGUGAUAAGCUGGAGGAAGGUGGGGAUGACGUCAAGUCCUCAUGGCCCUUACGUGUUGGGCUACACACGUGCUACAAUGGUAUCUACAACAGGAAGCAAAACAGCGAUGUUAAG